Dioscorea cayenensis subsp. rotundata (Guinea yam) is the source of this 139-nucleotide small nucleolar RNA. RefSeq annotates it as small nucleolar RNA Z247. The transcript has a single exon. The record is from RefSeq and is a predicted model, not a curated record. Lineage: Eukaryota; Viridiplantae; Streptophyta; Magnoliopsida; Dioscoreales; Dioscoreaceae.
CCACUCGACGAUGAAGAUAUGGUGUCGUACAUACUCGCCGGGCUUGACGCUGACUUUGAGCCGAUUGUGUCGGCUUUAGCAGCCCGGGUGGAGCCGGUCAGUGUGGCCGAGCUCUACUCACAGAUGCUGGGGUUUGAAG